CCUACGGGGGGCAGCAGUGGGGAAUAUUGCACAAUGGGGGAAACCCUGAUGCAGCGACGCCGCGUGAGUGAAGAAGCGCCUCGGCGCGUAAAGCUCUGUCAGCAGGAACGAUAAUGACGGUACCUGAAGAAGAAGCCCCGGCUAACUACAUGCCAGCAGCCGCGGUAAUACGUAGGGGGCAAGCGUUAUCCGGAUUUACUGGGUGUAAAGGGAGCGUAGACGGCGGGGCAAGUCUGGAGUGAAAGGCCGGGGCCCAACCCCGGGACCGCUCUGGAAACUGCCCGGCUGGAGUGCGGGAGAGGUAAGCGGAAUUCCUAGUGUAGCGGUGAAAUGCGUAGAUAUUAGGAGGAACACCAGCGGCGAAGGCAGCUUACCAAGCUACUUCUGACGUUGAGGCACGAAAGCGUGGGGAGCAAACAGGAUUAGAUACCCUUGUAGUC
RNAcentral lists this ribosomal RNA (440 nucleotides) under uncultured bacterium. RNAcentral's name for it is "partial 16S ribosomal RNA". It matches the Rfam family "Bacterial small subunit ribosomal RNA", at positions 338 to 795 of the family's 1533-position model. The record is from RNAcentral.